CAAUAGCGUAUAUUAAAGUUGUUGCGGUUAAAAAGCUCGUAGUUGGAUUUCUGCUGAGGACGACCGGUCCGCCCUCUGGGUGAGUAUCUGGCUCGGCCUUGGCAUCUUCUUGGAGAACGUUGCUGCACUUGACUGUGUGGCGCGGUAUCCAGGACAUUUACUUUGAGGAAAUUAGAGUGUUUCAAGCAGGCAUACGCCUUGAAUACAUUAGCAUGGAAUAAUAAGAUAGGACCUCGGUUCUAUUUUGUUGGUUUCUAGAGCUGAGGUAAUGAUUAAUAGGGAUAGUUGGGGGCAUUCGUAUUUAACUGUCAGAGGUGAAAUUCUUGGAUUUGUUAAAGACGGACUACUGCGAANGNAUUUGGNAAGGAUGUUUNCAUUG
RNAcentral lists this ribosomal RNA (379 nucleotides) under uncultured eukaryote. RNAcentral's name for it is "partial 18S ribosomal RNA". It matches the Rfam family "Eukaryotic small subunit ribosomal RNA", at positions 592 to 975 of the family's 1831-position model. The record is from RNAcentral.